UACGGUCCAGCUUGCUGGACGCUGACGAGCGGCGGACGGGUGAGUAAUGCAUAGGAAUCUACCCCCUCGUGGGGGAUUACCUGGGGAAACCCGGGCUAAUACCCCAUACCUCCUACGGGACAAAGCGGGGGCUCUUCGAAACCUCUUUCGAUUGGAUGAGCCUAUGUCGGAUUAUCUGGUUGGUGGGGUAACGGCUCACCAAGGCGACAAUCCGGGCUGGUCUGAGAGGAUGAUCACCCACCCUGGGACUGAGACACCGCCCACACUCCUACUGGAGGCAGCAGUGGGGAAUAUUGGACAAUGGGCGAAAGCCUGAUCCAGCCAUGCCGCGUGUGUGAAGAAGGCUUUCGGGUUGUAAAGCACUUUCUUUGGGGAAGAAGGCUUGUCGGCCAAUACCCGGCAAGAGCGACAUCACCCACAGAAGAAGCACCGGCUAACUCCGUGCCAGCAGCCGCGGUAAUACGGAGGGUGCAAGCGUUAAUCGGAAUUACUGGGCGUAAAGCGACUGCUGUAGGUCGGCUUGUCACGCCGRGUGUAGCAAAAGCCCCCGGGCUCAACCUGGGAUACGGCCAUCCGGAACGGGCAAGGCUAGUAGUGCUUGUAGUAGRAAUGUCAGAAUGUCCCGGUGUAGCUGUUGCAAAAUGAUCUAGAGAUCGGACACGGAAAUACGCAGUGGGCGAAGUCUGGCCUUCUGGACCUCACAUCUGACGCUGAGGUGCGAGAGGGUGGGCUAGCAAAACAGGAUUAGAUAGCCUGGUAGUCUCACACCGUAAAAGAUGUCGUCUAGGGCGUUGGCUCCCUUUAGGAGUUAGUGGCGCAGUUAACACGAUAAGUCGCCCGCCGGGGGAGUACGGCCGCAAGAUUAAAACUCAAAUGAAUGGGCGGGGGCCCGCACAAGCGGUGGAGCAUGUGGUUUAAUUUAGAUGCAACGAGAAGAACAUUACCUACCCUUGACAUCCUGCGAACCCGGAAGAGAUUCCGGGGUGCCUUCGGGAGCGCAGAGACAGGUGCUGCAUGGCCGUCGUCAGCUCGGGGAGUGAAAGGUUGGGUUAAGUCCCGUAACGAGCGCAACCCUUGUCCCUAUUUGCCAGCGAUUCGGUCGGGAACUCUAGGGAGACUGCCGGUGACAAACCGGAGGAAGGUGGGGAUGACGUCAAGUCAUCAUGGCCCUUUCGGGUAGGGCUCCACACGUGCUACAAUGGCCGGUACAAAGGGUUGCGAAGCCGGGAGGUGAAUCCAAUCCCAGAAAGCCGGCCUCAGUCCGGAUUGGAGUAUGCAACUCGACUCCAUGAAGUCGGAAUCGCUAGUAAUCGUGCAUCAGAAUGGCACGGUGAAUACGUUCCCGGGCCUACACACCCCGCCCGUCACACCAUGGGAGUGGACCCACCAGAAGUGGUUAGCCU
This 1403-nucleotide ribosomal RNA is filed under the name Chromohalobacter sp. RNAcentral describes it as "bacterial SSU rRNA". It matches the Rfam family "Bacterial small subunit ribosomal RNA", at positions 70 to 1436 of the family's 1533-position model. Lineage: Bacteria; Pseudomonadati; Pseudomonadota; Gammaproteobacteria; Oceanospirillales; Halomonadaceae. The record is from RNAcentral.